This 239-nucleotide ribosomal RNA is filed under the name uncultured bacterium. RNAcentral describes it as "partial 16S ribosomal RNA". It matches the Rfam family "Bacterial small subunit ribosomal RNA", at positions 15 to 243 of the family's 1533-position model. The record is from RNAcentral.
GAUCCUGGCUCAGGAUGAACGCUAGCUACAGGCUUAACACAUGCAAGUCGAGGGGCAGCAUGGUCUUAGCUUGCUAAGGCCGAUGGCGACCGGCGCACGGGUGAGUAACGCGUAUCCAACCUGCCUUACACUCUUGGACAGCCUUCUGAAAGGGAGAUUAAUACAAGAUGUUAUCAUGAGUAAGCAUUUUCGCAUGAUUAAAGGUUUACCGGUGUAAAGAGUGGGGAUGUCCGUUCCUA